UAGGGAUGUCAGGGCUUGGAGCCCCCCCCAAGCCCCGGCUAACUUUAUCUGUAGGGGGGCA
Felis catus (domestic cat) is the source of this 61-nucleotide regulatory RNA element. It matches the Rfam family "Gag/pol translational readthrough site". The record is from Rfam. NCBI's taxonomy places the organism in Eukaryota, Metazoa, Chordata, Mammalia, Carnivora, Felidae.